UAGCGUAAUCAUUUGUCUUUUAAAUAGAGACCUGUAUGAAUGGCAUAACGAGGGUUUAACUGUCUCCCUCCCCCAGUCAAUGAAAUUGAUCUGCCCGUGCAGAAGCGGACAUAAACACAUAAGACGAGAAGACCCUAUGGAGCUUUAGACAAAAGAUCAAACAUGUAAAGAAACCAAACCAACCAAAAGGAACACAAAAGCCACAAAACCCAACGUAAAAUGAUCAAAAUGUCUUCGGUUGGGGCGACCAUGGGGGAAAGAAAAGCCCCCACGAGGAACUAAGGGCAAUCCAUUAAGCCAAGAGAUACACCUCUAAGCAACAGAAAAUCUGACCAAAAAUGACCCAGGACACUAAUCCUGAUCAACGAACCAAGUUACCCUAGGGAUAACAGCGCAAUCCUUUCCCAGAGUCCACAUCGACGAAAGGGUUUACGACCUCGAUGUUGGAUCAGGACAUCCUAAUGGUGCAGCCGCUAUUAAGGGUUCGUUUGUUCAACGAUUAA
RNAcentral lists this ribosomal RNA (503 nucleotides) under Anguilla marmorata (giant mottled eel). RNAcentral's name for it is "partial 16S ribosomal RNA". It matches the Rfam family "Bacterial large subunit ribosomal RNA", at positions 1957 to 2591 of the family's 2925-position model. The record is from RNAcentral. Lineage: Eukaryota; Metazoa; Chordata; Actinopteri; Anguilliformes; Anguillidae.